AGAUGUGAGGGCGAUUUGGCUGUGACAUCUGUCACCCCAUUGAUUGCCAAGGUUGAUUCGGCUUACUUAUCUGGCUGGCUAGGCAGGUGUCCCCUUCCUCCCUCACCACUUCAGGUGCGUCCCUCCCGAAGAUGCGAGCUCUUAGAAGAGGAUGGUCUUACCGAAUAGAGACAGAACAGUCUUCUGUCUAGGGUAUACGAUUAGCUGUAUUCUCCUGCUAAAAUCUCCAAACAAGCUCUCAAGGUCCAUUUGUAGGAGAACGUGGGGUAGUCAAGCUUCUAAGACUCCAGACACAUCCAAAUGAAGUGCUGAUGCUCUACAUGUGGCAGUCUGCCUUUCUUA
Molecule: unclassified non-coding RNA, 342 nt
Organism: Erinaceus europaeus (western European hedgehog)
Lineage: Eukaryota; Metazoa; Chordata; Mammalia; Eulipotyphla; Erinaceidae
Gene: 7SK
Rfam family: 7SK RNA
About the family: 7SK was discovered as an abundant small nuclear RNA in the mid-70s but a possible function has only recently been suggested.
Source: Ensembl